Molecule: long non-coding RNA, 1094 nt
Organism: Helianthus annuus (common sunflower)
Lineage: Eukaryota; Viridiplantae; Streptophyta; Magnoliopsida; Asterales; Asteraceae
Exons: 3
Source: RefSeq, a predicted model, not a curated record
CUAAAUAUAUGAUUUGUGAGAAAACCCUCUUCCUAUUUGGACCAUAUUUCCUCCUUGCUCCGUUCACCGAAGUUAAGAACGACGCGCUCCUAUGAACCAAGAGAGAUAGAGAGGCUAAGAGAGAGAAAGUGCAUAUACAGAGAAAGACACAGGGAGAUUGAGAGGCAUAGGGUGGAGGUACGCGGCGGCGUUUAGGGUUCUGAUGAAGUCACUUGAUUCGGGCCAAGAAACAUCUCUGGUGACUCAAUAUAGGGUUCCGACCAAGAGAACCAGGGUUCCGACGGUAGCUGUGACGAAAAACUUGGCAGCGGCAUCAACAGAAACAGAUUACGGCGAAAGCUAGGGUUCCGAGGAAGAUCUGGUAACCCCCCCCCCCCCCCCCGCAUGCUCCUUUUCGGUUAGAUCGACGAUCAAUGAUGUCUCAUAGGUUGAAUUUUAUUGGACCGGCGAAUAUGCGACUUUCAGUUAAACUCUGAUAUGCGGCGUGCUCUCCUCCUCCCGUAACGAAGAUGUCACUUUGAGGCCUUGUACAACGGUAGUGUAGCUGCAGCAUCCGCUGGAGCAUUCUUGGGGUAGUUCUAUGCGCCUUCUUUACACUUUCUCCACCAUUGAAGAGUUCUGGAGGGAUCAAUGGUUGCAAAUGUUAUUUGGUGAAGGUUCCGGAGAAAGAUAAAGAUUUGAUUUUUACUUCAAUUUCAUUUUGGUGAAGGAAAAUAUAGAGAAAAAAGAUUGCAGAAUGAUUGCCCGUAUAAAAAGAGUAUCAUGUGCAUAUGAUUCGUUUUUAAUGAAUUCGUUAGUCUAGGUAUUUAUGGGCAAAGUGCAUAUGGUUUACUGGUUUAGAGAUAAAUCGAGGCAUGUAUCUUAGAUGCCCCUGAUAUGAUUUAGAAUGCUGAUAUAUUCACAAAGGGUCUUCCACGUGUGUUAUAUGAAGAUUUCAGAUCCUAUCUCAACAUUCGGCCUCCUCCCAUUUCGAUUGCGUGUGGGUAUUAGAAAUAUAUUGUGAUAUCCUGUAUUGUUAGAAACAUAUUUGGUAGUCAAUGUGAAAUAUAUAUUACGGUUGAGAAUGUGAAUAACAUAAGAAGAUUGCUUUACCA